UUAAACUCAAAGGAAUUGGCGGGGGCCCGCACAACCGGUGGAGCGUCUGGUUCAAUUCGAUGCUAACCGAAAAACCUUACCCGGGUUUGACAUGGUGGGAAACCCUUGCGAAAGCGAGGGGUGCUGUCCUCUGGACGGAAUCCCACCACAGGUGGUGCAUGGCCGUCGUCAGCUCGUGUCGUGAGAUGUUGGGUUAAGUCCCGCAACGAGCGCAACCCCUGCCCUUAGUUGCUACCCCGAAUGGGGAGCACUCUAAGGGGACUGCCGGCGAUAAGCCGGAGGAAGGUGGGGAUGACGUCAGGUCAGUAUGCCCUUUAUGCCCGGGGCAACACAGGCGCUACAGUGGCCAGGACAAUGGGAUGCAACCCAGCAAUGGGGAGCAAAUCCCCCAAACCUGGUCAUGGUGCAGAUUGAGGGCUGAAACUCGCCCUCAUGAAGCCGGAAUCGGUAGUAAUGGCGGAUCAGCUAAGCCGCCGUGAAUACGUUCUCGGGCCUUGCACACACCGCCCGUCACGCCACGGAAGUCAGUCUUCCCGGAAGCUCCCGGGCU
This 550-nucleotide ribosomal RNA is filed under the name uncultured Thermocrinis sp. Its description in RNAcentral is "bacterial SSU rRNA". It matches the Rfam family "Bacterial small subunit ribosomal RNA", at positions 895 to 1436 of the family's 1533-position model. The record is from RNAcentral. Lineage: Bacteria; Pseudomonadati; Aquificota; Aquificia; Aquificales; Aquificaceae.